UAGAAAAUUGGCUAUGGUAGCAACGG
Molecule: non-coding RNA, 26 nt
Filed under: Mus musculus (house mouse)
Lineage: Eukaryota; Metazoa; Chordata; Mammalia; Rodentia; Muridae
Source: RNAcentral